GAACUUGAUAUACCAAAUGUUUCAUCAUCUCCUCCUUCUCUGUAUAAGUAUAGAACUUAUAACGCUACCUCUCUCAGAGUAAUCUUAACCAAAAGAAUAAGCAAGCAAAGGGAUGAAUCGUCAGGUUUUAUCAAUAGUGGCUUUGAUUCUUCUCUUACUCUCAGCGUUCAACAGCACAACGAUGGCCCGAACCUUGCCGAGUAAGUGUCUGCUUUGAUUCCUCUCUUAAACAGAUAUCAUAUUCAAUUAUGUAUCUCAUUUUGUUUUUGUUAUGUUUUUGGGUUUGUUUUACAAUUAUCAAGAGGAACGAAUAUCUGCAAGUAUAAAAGUGGGGGUCUCAGAGCAUCUCCAAAAAGUAAUUCUAUUUUGAAGUUUCCAAAACUUUAUAUUUGAAGUUUCAAUGUGUUCUUCUCCAAAAGUAAAACUUCAAAUCUAACUUCAAAAUUAUUUAUAUUUUACACUAUGAUCCUUAUAUUUGUCAUAGUUGAUGUAAAUUUAUAAAACUUCUAUAAAUAACAAAUACAUAUAUAUAAAUAUUACAGAAAUAUUAAUUAAAAAAAAUCUUACACUAAAAUAUAAAAUUAUAAAUAAAAGUACAUAAUUAAAUAUUAAACUGCAAGCAAAUAUUACAUUAUUGCAUAAAAUUAUUUCCAUAAUGCUCCCAUAUAUGAUCAACUAGUGCAUUUCGAAGUAAGAAAUGAUUCUCUUUAUUUUUUAUUUGUAGAUUACGAGCCAAAAAUUGUUGAAACCGGAUAUCCUCAUAAUAUGUCUGCUGAUAGUUUGAUAUCAUCAAACGAAAAAAUCCUUGAUCUUUUAAACGAAAGUACAACAAGCAGGGAAAAAGGUCAUGAGAUGAUUGAAUUACGACUGCAAAAUGAAGCAAAAAAGUUAGCUUUUAAAGAAAUAAAAGAGGAAAAUAAAAUAUUGCUAAAAAACUUAGCUUCUAUCGAUGAUGUUAAUAUUCGUGAAUACAUUCGAUCUGAACAAGAAAGAAUCAUAUGAAAAAUGCGUCAAGAGCAACAACAACAAUCAUUUUCGGUUACACAAAAUUUGUUGAACAAUAUUUUGGAGAUUUUGGAGGUUCCGGAGCAAAUUUACCAGACUAUUAGUGUUGUUAUAAUAUUUAAAUUUGAGUAAUAAUUAUAUCUUCAUGUGUCUUUUUAAUAAGUUUUUAUUAUGGUUUUUUGUAAUAUUCUUGUUGUUUAAUUCUAGUUUUAAAAUAUUAUAAAUCUUGUUUUAAUUUUUUUUAUUUAAUUUCAUGUGUAAAACUUAAGUUUAUAUAACAAAUUUGAAAUAUUUAUGAGAUAUAAAAGUUUUAAGGAUUAAAAUAAUAAACAAAAAAAAUAUUUAAGAAUUUAUAAAUAUGAUGUAUAAUUGUAAGGACCAAAAUGCAAAUAAAAAGAUGAAACUUCAAAUUUGAAGUUUUGAAAAGUGAAACUCUAUAUUUGGAGUUUCACUCUUCAAAACUUCAAAUUUGAAGUUUUGAAGUUCCUUUUUAGAGAGCAAAAAAUUCUAUAUUUGGAGUUAUAGAGUUUCUUUUGGAGAUGCUCUCAGGGAGUGUAUCGGGCCAAGCUCGUAAAAAGGGACCUGGAGCUCCUGGAAAACAAAAUCGUUGAUCUCCUUAA
Molecule: long non-coding RNA, 1625 nt
Filed under: Brassica rapa (field mustard)
Lineage: Eukaryota; Viridiplantae; Streptophyta; Magnoliopsida; Brassicales; Brassicaceae
Description: long non-coding RNA (BRAP_LNC003469)
Source: RNAcentral